GCUGGGUGCCGUGGUGCACACCUGUAAUCCCAGCAGCUUGGGGGCCUGAGGCAGGAGGAUCUGAGAGUUCCAAGCCAGCCUCAGCAAUGGUGAGGCACUGAGCAACUCAGCAAGACCCUGUCUCUA
RNAcentral lists this small RNA (126 nucleotides) under Marmota monax (woodchuck). Lineage: Eukaryota; Metazoa; Chordata; Mammalia; Rodentia; Sciuridae. The record is from RNAcentral.